This 5121-nucleotide long non-coding RNA is filed under the name Sus scrofa (pig). Its description in RNAcentral is "lncRNA (ENSSSCG00000055119.1)". Lineage: Eukaryota; Metazoa; Chordata; Mammalia; Artiodactyla; Suidae. The record is from RNAcentral.
AACACCAGGGAUUGCUGGAGAAUAGUUUCCCAACCACUGGGCCUUUUUAGAAUUCUCUGUCAUUUUCAUCUAUCCAUAUUAAUUCUUAAGCAGUAUCCACUCAAAUAGCUGUGCUUCAACCCUGAGGAAUGUAAAUACUGAGGUAAUUAUGAGCUGUAUUUUCCAGUGGCACAUAUCUCAAUGAUUAUCGGAAAGUCAAAUGUUAAUGUCACCAAAUAAAGAAGUAAAACAUGGUUAAUGUAUUGUGACCAAAGUUAAUAGGCUAAGAUGGAGCAGGCAAUCUCACAUUGCCAGGACAUUUGAAUGGGGAGACCAGAAGUGCUUUUUCAUCAUUGCAAUCUUACAGGACUGUAGCUGUGUUUUACUUGCACGAGCCUCUCAGAAGGACUGACGAGACACAGGGUAUGAGGCAGAGGGCUGAGAUAAAAACGGGUGGAGGCGGGUUGUUGGACGAAGUGUGUGUGUCUAAUUGGGCAGGGGUGCGGGGUGCAGGGUGAGAGAAUGACUCAGGGCACAGUCCUCUUCCUAAAUCUGCGAGAGUUCAAGGGCAGCAAGGAAAUCCUUUGUCGCAUGGGAAUUGGCCAUGAACUUGCUCUCUGGGUUUCCUCCUUCUCCGGGUUCCAUUCUACAAGUUGCUUCUCUUCCUCUCUUCUGUAUCCGACUCCCCUUCCCCUUAAGCAAAUUUGAACACAUAUCGAUUGGAAAGUUUGUAGUGUCCCUAAUUGUUUUCCACUUUCUAUUUAUCAUCCAUUACGGAAUCUGGUGGGUCUACAAAAAAUCUGAUUGUUAUGGGCCGAACUGAGUAUCCCUUCAAAACAUAUGUUGAAGUCCUAACCCCCAGUACCUGUGAAUGCGAUCCCCCCAAAAGAUAUGUUGAAGUCCUAACCCCCAAUACCUCCAAAUGUGAUUCUAUUUGGAAAUAGGGCAGUUACAGAUGUCAUAAGUCAAGAUGGGGAGGCCUCUGAUCCAACGUGCCUGGUGUGGUUAGAAGAGGCUCAUGGCCACGGUGGAAGCAGAGAUUGAAACGAUACAAGUGGAGAAGGGACAAGGCGGCUGAGCGGAAGGACCUUGAGCUCAUCUCCUCUCCGGAGAACGCCAGCAUCACAACUAACUGCUGAACAACCUUGGAUCAAAACACCUGGAAAUGAUGCACCUACAAGCCAAGGAACGCCAGAGACUAUCACCAGAAAGUAAGGAGAGAGGCACGGAAGAGAUCCUCCCUCAGAGUCCUCAGAAAAAACCAACACCUCGAUUUUAGACUUCUGGCUUUUUCUGUUAUUUUAAGCCACCCAGUUUGUGGUCCUUUUUUAUAGCAGCCCUAGGAAGCUAAAAGACGAAUAUUUGAAAGAAAUCUUAACAUUUCUCCCUUUAGAUGACAAUUAUAUCCAUAGCCCAAUAACAAGAAUGACUGCCAACAUUUAGUGCUUGCUGUAUACAUGUCAGACAUCAAGUUUUCCUCCCCAGAACUGCCCCAUUGCCCCUACAGAAACCAGGCUGCCCGUUACUCCUUGACUCAAGCACCCAGGGAUCCUACUGUUGACAAUAGAUGGUCCACUCAGUAGUUACAGUUCUGAGGCUCCACCACGCAGUUCUCAGAAUCCCCAAGAAUCCCUUUGCGGACUUAUCACCUCCCUAAAGAGACACCUUCUGAGACGUUAAACAGUCAGCUGAACAUUGGUCGGGGGAGGAUGAACUCAGAGUCAGCUGUGUAGUCAGAUGAACGGGAUGCUCCGUGACACCAGACCCUUCCGUUUCACAAUGAAGAUAAUCUUUGAGCUGGAAUGUUGCCAUCUUCUUCUCUGGUCAGAAGAGCCGAGCUGCAGUUGGCAGUCUUUGUAGAGCUCCCUGAGCUGACCAACCUUUCUGAGAGUAACAUUUUCCCCUUUGUUGUAUUAAUAUACUAAUUAAUCAAGUUACAGUUGGUUAUAUGUUAGUUCAGGAAGCAGAUGUCAAGAUGGGAUUAAACGUGCAUGGAUUUUACCUGGGGAAGAAGUCAGGGAAGGCUCGGAGGGUCACUGGACCACGAGGCAAGGCUGUUCCCUGAUGAAGGAAAAAAGGGCAGAAAAGAGAGGGCGGAAGUGUCCCAGAUUGCCACAUGGUGUAGGGAAGUUCAUUAAAGCCACUGGGGCAGGAGUGCGUGGAGGAGGUGACUAGAGGCAAAGUGGGAGGGAAGAGGAAUCUUCCUUCUCUCAGGAAUGGAUCUGCCCUGGUGGUCCUGCUGUGCCCUGUGACUGGCUGGGAGCAACCCAUGGGAGGCUGGGUCUUAGUGCUGAUGCAGUGAAGGAUUUCAGAGGCAGAAGGUGGGUGGGUCCUUGGUCAAUUACACACACUGUGGUUGGAGGUCUUCCGUGGCCCACACACCACAGCCUGGGAGUCACUCUUCUUUAAGGGGAUUGACUGCACAUCUUGGUAAUGCACUGAUUUAAAAUUUAAGUGCCAGAAGCCAUUUUACUUCCCAUUUCUUGGAAGAAGCCUCACUGGGGCACAACUUCCAAGUGUUCAUAAUACCUAUCUUGUUUUAGUUCGUGUGCCUGUUAUAUACGUAAACACACACAUACAGACAUAUGUUUAAGAUAUACUACUGUAUUUUUUUUUUAAAAAAAGAGAAGGCCAUUGAGCUAAACACUUCCUGAGAAAUCUAACUUUUUCAAACCUAUAGUGAAAUAGCUCUUAAAUGGAAGGAUCCUGUUUCAGUACACUGCAUUAUAUCUGCUAGACUUACAUAAAUGCACAUUCAUAAUAACACCUCAAGGUGAAUAAAUGAUACACCUUAUACCUUGCAGCAUAGAUCACACUUAAUGAAACACCUCGCUGGCUCUAGAGAACACUUUGCUUCUCUUUAAUAAGAACAGAUGUUGUCUGCAGAAAAAGUAAUUUCCACAACCCCGGUGCUGAGAACAGGUGAAACGAACAACAGUGCACGUUAUUCUUACCACACCGUCCAAAUGGCACUUGAGGAAUAUGCUGAGCACAGCUCCAUCUGUCUGGUCAGAGAACUUUGUGUAGAGAAGAUGUGGGAGAACAUGGUGUGCAUGUGGAUUCAACCAGACCAGAGUGACUGGCCCUCCCAAACCUCUGGGAGGGAAUUCCUCUUAAAAUGAUGUGAAAUACACAGUACCCAAGAGGUGAGGGAAUCAGCGAAAAUGGCCAUCCACUGAAUAAGAAUCUUCGAUUGUUGUCUAGUGCAUUGUUGAAAUUUAGAUAAAUUACUGAAUUAAUGUCAUGAUCAAUUCCUUUUUUGUUUGGGCUGCCUCCUUUUUUCUUUUUAUGCAGCCCAGUUUAAUCCACAUAAAACCACUUUGGCCUGAUGGUUCCUUUUAUCAAAGUGAUUGGAAAAUGCCAUUUCAAUAAUUAGACUUCCUCUAUGUUUUCCCAGUUUUUUUUUUUUCCCAUUUAUAACUUGUUUGGAAUAUUUUUUCAAUGUUCUGAUGCAAUGCAAAGAAAUAUGACCCCCCAAAAAGCAAAAACAUUUUGAGCCUUUCUUUAUCUAGAAACUAGUCAUUCUUUUGGUUCCAAAAACACUCAAUACUUCCAGGUUACCUCAAGUUCGUGAACAGGGUAGAAAAGUUAGAAUAAUAAUAAUCUAAAUAACUGGAAGCUUCAACUAAUCAGAUUUUUGUUUUUCACUGUCAGCACUCUAAGUUUAUGAAAAAAUUACAAGUAAACUAUAAUAACAAUUUCUAAGGUGAUUUUUAAUAUUCUUGGACAUAUUCAGUGGCUUACAGUUGAAAAUUGUGUUAUUGAACUAUAAUAUACUUUGAACAUGUAUUUGAAAUGUUCUAUUUGCUAAGGCAAGAAAUAGAAUAAUACAUUUCAUCAAUAAUUUUAGGACUUCCUGCUGUGGGUACAGUGGGUUAAAGAUCUGGCAUUGCUGCAGUUGCGGCGUAGGCAGCAGCUGCAGCUUGAUUUGAUCCCUUGCCCAGGAGCUUCAUAUGCUGCCAGUGUGGCCAAAAAACCCCCAAAACAAAACAAAAAAAGAAAAAAAAACAAAAAAACUCAAUAAUUUUUAACUAGAGGAGGAGACAAAUUUUGGCAUUUAGAGCAUUAACUCUUGGCCAAGCAGAAAGCAGAAUAACCAGAGUCUCUCAUUUAGUUAUUCAAGACUUUGCUCUACUUCUCAGGACACAGGGACAAAUACCUGGCCUCUUACACACUGAUGCAGAUUUACAUCUCAAUUCCAUGAGCAUUGAGUCAGUUUCUAGGAGGCCUAUUAGCACUGGCAGCCUCCUUGUUAUGCCCACAUAGUGCUCCUAUAGUGAUCCUGAAUCUGAAGAAUUAGAGAAAUUAUUCUAGGCUGCAUAGUUUAAUCGAGGAGUGGGGGCUGGAGAAAGAAAGCUGUCAAGUCAAAAGGAGAUGAUUAUAGAUUCUGCUGGCACCUGUUCCUCCAUUACACACACACACACACACACACACACACACACACACACACACACACACACAUUGUGGGCUGUACCUUUCUCACUUCUUUUCUCUUCCACCUUUGGUGUUCAUUCGAAUGGGACUGGGCACAGAGAAUGCUUAUGAGCUAAAGAGGACCUAUACUGAGUGAAUAGUCUUGAGUCACAUAUUUGUCUAGGAAGUCAUCUUUGGGCCCAUGAUCUAUUAAGCAGUACUUAAUAAACAUUUAUUGAAUAGAUGCAUGUAUACUGGCUGCCUACUGACCCAAGGCUUAAAUCAGAUUGUUAGAAGACUUAUUCCCCAUUGCUUCAGAAUCAUUUCCUCUGCACAGUUCAGGGAUUCUAUGCUGCUAAGAGCUGCUGCGUUAGGAAUUAAAUAAGAAGAUCCUGAACUCUAAAAACUCUGAAAAACAUCUAUCGAAGCUUGGGUUUUUCCAUCCUCUGUCUUGAGCUCAUUCCAAUUUUGUAAAUGACUUUCAGCUAUUCUCCUAAUAGCCCAUCUGUAAACUCUAUUGCUGCCUUGCAGUGAAAUUCUUCUAUAGGUGAACAUGCAAUAUGGGUACCAAAAUCCAUCAGAAACUGAACUAUUAUGAUGAGAACAUAAAUAACUAGGAAAUUGGUGUAGAAUUUUUUGUUUUUUUAUACAGAAAGUGUGCUUGUUGUUUAAUGUAAUACUCUGUGUAUAAAUGAUUGGCUUAACAUAUAAUAACUUUUAGAGGGAUUC